This 253-nucleotide ribosomal RNA is filed under the name uncultured bacterium. Its description in RNAcentral is "partial 16S ribosomal RNA". It matches the Rfam family "Bacterial small subunit ribosomal RNA", at positions 524 to 776 of the family's 1533-position model. The record is from RNAcentral.
UACAGGGGGGGCAAGCGUUGUUCGGAAUUACUGGGCGUAAAGGGCUCGUAGGCGGCCAACUACGUCACACGUGAAAUCCCCAGGCUUAACCUGGGAACUGCGUGUGAUACUGGAUGGCUUGAAUCCGGGAGAGGGAUGCGGAAUUCCAGGUGUAGCGGUGAAAUGCGUAGAUAUCUGGAGGAACACCGGUGGCGAAGGCGGCAUCCUGGACCGGUAUUGACGCUGAUGAGCGAAAGCCAGGGGAGCAAACGGG